Molecule: ribosomal RNA, 1365 nt
Filed under: uncultured bacterium
Lineage: Bacteria
Description: bacterial SSU rRNA
Rfam family: Bacterial small subunit ribosomal RNA
Source: RNAcentral
GACGAACGCUGGCGGCGUGCUUAACACAUGCAAGUCGAACGGAGAGGCCCUCACCUUGGUGGGGGUGCUCGAGUGGCGAACGGGUGAGUAACACGUGGGUGAUCUGCCCUGUACUUCGGGAUAAGCUUGGGAAACUGGGUCUAAUACCGGAUAGGACCAUGGUUUAGUGUCACAUGGUGGAAAAAUUAUUGUUUUGGUGCAGGAUGAGCUCGCGGCCUAUCAGCUUGUUGGUGGGGUAAUGGCCUACCAAGGCGUCGACGGGUAGCCGGCCUGAGAGGGUGGACGGCCACAUUGGGACUGAGAUACGGCCCAGACUCCUACGGGAGGCAGCAGUGGGGAAUAUUGCACAAUGGGCGCAAGCCUGAUGCAGCGACGCCGCGUGGGGGAUGACGGCCUUCGGGUUGUAAACUCCUUUCGUUAGGGACGAAGCCACACUUUUUUUGGGUGUGGUGACGGUACCUUUGUUAAGAAGCACCGGCUAACUACGUGCCAGCAGCCGCGGUAAUACGUAGGGUGCGAGCGUUGUCCGGAAUUACUGGGCGUAAAGAGCUCGUAGGUGGUUUGUUGCGUCGUCUGUGAAAUUCCGGGGCUUAACUUCGGGGUGGCAGGCGGUACGGGCAUAACUAGAGUGCUGUAGGGGAGACUGGAAUUCCUGGUGUAGCGGUGGGAUGCGCAGAUAUCAGGAGGAACGCCGAUGGCGAAGGCAGGUCUCUGGGCAGUAACUGACGCUGAGGAGCGAAAGCAUGGGGAGCGAACAGGACUAGAUACCCUGGUAGUCCAUGCUGUAAACGGUGGGCGUUAGGUGUGGGGACCGGUUUGGUUUCUGUGCCGUAGCUAACGCAUUAAGCGCCCCGCCUGGGGAGUACGGCCGCAAGGCUAAAACUCAAAGGAAUUGACGGGGGCCCGCACAAGCGGCGGAGCAUGUGGAUUAAUUCGAUGCAACGCGAAGAACCUUACCUGGGUUUGACAUGCACCAGACGGUUGUAGAGAUACGUACCUCCCUUUGUGGUUGGUGUGCAGGUGGUGCAUGGUUGUCGUCAGCUCGUGUCGUGAGAUGUUGGGUUAAGUCCCGCAACGAGCGCAACCCUUGUCUUAUGUUGCCAGCACGUUUGGGUGGGGACUCAUGAGAGACUGCCGGGGUUAACUCGGAGGAAGGUGGGGAUGACGUCAAAUCAUCAUGCCCUUUAUGCCCAGGGCUUCACACAUGCUACAAUGGUUAGUACAACGCGCGGCGAGCCUGUGAGGGUGAGCGAAUCGCUGAAAGCUAAUCUCAGUUCGGAUUGGGGUCUGCAACUCGACCCCAUGAAGUCGGAGUCGCUAGUAAUCGCAGAUCAGCAAUGCUGCGGUGAAUACGUUCCCGGGCCU